UUCUUCAAGGAGAUAAGUCACUCAAGGAGGUAGGGGAAGGAAGAUGGCAGAAGCGGAUGUUCUGUUUGAAUCAGAUGGCGUGUCAAGUGGAGAUGAGAAGAAUUGGAUUACAGUGGCGAAUACAAAAGGAAAUAAGAGAAGUAAAGUUGUAGUGGAAGCUAGUAAACCCAAGCCUAGUUCUGAUUCUUUUUUGUUUGGAGUAAGAGUUUUGGAUCGAUGGAGUUUCCUGGGAGAUCCAUUUGAAGUCUAUGAAAAUCAUGGAUGCUUUGGGUAAGGUGGUGUCGGUGAGAGUAACGAGAAGUGGGCUUAUUUUGUUAUUUUGUGUAUCUAUGGAACAGAAGGACCGUGCUCCGCGCCUCAAGAAGAUAUCGGAUUGGAAUGUGUCGUGUGUGGAUCUUCGAAGCAGGGCAAAGGAUAUAUGUGAAGAAUUGGAUCAAGUGGUUGGUGCACAACGACUGACCCGCAUGGUGGAUGGAGUGAGGAAGCCCACUCUAUCCAUUCUAUUGUUUUUUUAUUAGAUUCUCUCCCUUCUCACGUCUAUUUGGAUUUUAUGAGAUGAGUCAUGUGAGAACAGUCAUGAUCAAACCCAUGCAAUGUGAAAAAAGGAAAUCAUUUGGCCAUGUGUCAAGUGUAUGUAGAUGAGAGGGGUAUCGUAUGCUGCAAUUGUGGUGGUGAACAUGCACCUGAAUUUCUGAAGUGCCCUGUUAGGGUGAAGGAGACGGAGCUGGCAAGAAUAAGGGCUGUCCAUCAUGUCUCCUGUCCAGGGAUGGUGAGAAGAGUGGAGUGACGUUGAAUAAGUAAUGGUAGUAGGAGUAGAGACACCAGAUGAUGUUCCUUGUCAACAUAGGGAUCCUGACAUGUUGCAUGUUAUGAAUUUGGACUUUGUAGCAUUUAUUGCAUUGGUUAUCAACUGUACAGCGCAAACAGAGAGGAAAUCAGAAAGAAUAGUCAUCGUUGUGAGUGCGGCUGAGCGUUUUUUGGGACUCAGAUUUUACAGCAGAGACAUUACAAGGAGACUUGUUGAUGAAUGCUCUGUCCUCACAGGCGCCUGAGCAGGAGUGAGGUGGUUGUUUUACCACCCCAUACAGUAGGUGGCGGCAAUACACCACUUGGUUGUAGUCUGCCAUAAAACUUUAAAGAAGAAGAAGAAGAUGCGUCACUCAAACUUCGACUCAGGGGCAAGCGGGAAAUACAAUAUUUUGUAGCUAGCUACAAUUCACUAGCUAUAAACUUAACACGCUCUAAACUCUAAGGUAAUUUACGGAACAUGUAUUAACUUUCCAACGUUUGUGAAUAAUACAGCUUCACCUCAUAGCUAGCAAAUUUUUCAUCGGCUAAUAUAUGCCAAAACAACUGCUAGCCAGUUAGUUAUAGCGAGCCAACUAGUUAGCUAGCUAGACACAUUCCAGAAAUGAGCAGUUUGUAUCAAAGCGAUAGCUACAUUGUAACUAUUCAAAUCAAAUUUUAUUGGUCACAUACACAUGGUUAGCAGGUGUUAUUGCUAGUGUUACGAAAUUCUUGCUUAUUAAGGUCAAAGUAUCGAGUUCGUUUGCAAACUCUGCGCAUUUCGUUAUGUCAGCAUUUACAUUUUCUAACGGUACGUUGCCGAUUUGGACAGUAAUACAGCUGGAUACGUUUUAUUAGUCGUAUGUACUGGAUACACAAUGGCAUACACCGUCCAACAAAACGCUUACUUUCAGGGUCUUUCUCGACACUGUAACAGUAAGAAACAAAUAUAUAACAAUACGAACAAAGGAAAUGGCUAAGUAGAAUAUAAUACACAUUUAACCACAAGUAGAUAUAAUGUUAAUACAGGAAGUGUCGUGUGGCAAAUUUUGGUGGCACCAUAAUUGGGAAGGACGGGCUCGUGGUAGUGCAUCUUUAAGGGGCGGCAGGUAGCCUAGUGGUUAGAGCGUUGGGGCCAGUAACUGAAAGGUUGCUAGAUCGAAUCCCUGAGCAGACAGGGUAAAGAUUUGUCGUUCUGCCCCUGAACAAGUUAGCCUGUCUUUGUAAAUAAGAAUUUGUUCUUAACUGUCUUGCCUAGUUAAAAAUAAAAACAAUGACCGGAUCGUUAUUAGUCGAAUGGUAUGAAACAAAUGGUUUGAUGCAAUUCCACUCCAGGUUUUAUUAUCAUCCGUUCUCCCCUCAGCAGCUGACAGGAAGGCACAAUUGAAUGCUUAGAGACGUCAGCUUGUGGCCAUGGGUUCUUUUUUGAUGCUGCGGGCCUUUUACAGGCACCAUUUCGAGGAGAUGUCCUAGAUGGGUGUGAGCACGGUCCCAGUGAUGUACUGGGCCGUUUUCACCACCCGCUGGAGGACCUUGCGGUCGUGGAUGGAACAAUUCCCAUACCAGGCCUUCAUGCAACCGGUCAGGACUUGAUUGACUGUCUGUCAUACACUUUUUGCAGCACCUGCCACAGUAUUGAUAAACUGGAGACUGUGAAAAUAUGCACCAUGAUACAGAGGAGGACAAGAGCAGCCAAGCAUCCAACACGCGCUUCGGGCAGUAUAACUAUACUGCAGAGGAGUACCAGGCAGUCCAGAAUGCACUGCGACAGAAGCUGGGACCUGAAUACAUCAGCUCCAGGAUGGCUGGAGGGGGCCAGAAGGUGUGUUACAUCGAGGGGCACCGUGUGAUCAGCCUGGCCAAUGAGAUGUUUGGAUACAACGGCUGGUCUCACUCCAUCUCCCAGCAGAAUGUCGACUUUGUUGACCUCAUCAAUGGGAAGUUCUACGUUGGAGUCAGUGCGUUUGUCAAAGUCCAACUGAAGGACGGGUCGUUCCAUGAGGACGUUGGCUACGGGGUGAGCGAGGGACAAAAGUCCAAGGCCCUGUCACUGGAGAAGGCCAGGAAAGAGGCAGUCACUGAUGGACUGAAGAGAGCACUCAAAUGUUUUGGAAACGCCCUUGGGAACUGUAUCAUGAAUAAAGAGUACCUCAUAUCCAUCAACAAGAUCCCUAAACAGCCUGCUCCCCCUCUGGACCCGGCCCAGACCAAGCGUUCUGACAGUGAGCCGUCAGUGGAGAAGGCCCGGCUGUCUAGCUUGGCCCGGUGGGAGGGUGCUGGGCCUGGGUCAGGGAGGGCACCACUGGAGCAGCCCAGGGCCCACAACCACCACCAGGCUCCCCCAGGGGAGCACGGGGACAGAGGGAGAGCCAGGACCUUUCUCUCACACACCCCUACUGCUGCCUCUGGACCUGUAGCUCCCUCAGCUCCAUCAGACAGUGAGAACAAGUGCUGUAAUCUUGUCAGGUCUUUAUCAGAUGUGGAGGACCUCUGUCUCUCUGACGCCCACACAGACCCCAAGCAGCUAAGGAAGCUCAAGCAGCAGCAGCUGCAGCAGAAGUUCCGCCAGGAGAUGGAGAUGAAAAAGCUCCUGCAGGGACAACCUCUGCUCCAGCUCAAGACAGAGGGCCCAGACACAGCUAUUGCACAGGCACCCAGUGGAGCUCAUGAUAACCCAGAGCUGUGGGACUUCACUCUUGACGGCAUCCAGGAGUUGGAGGCCCCAGCAGGUGGACAUUCUACAACAUCAUCUUCGUUACGACCCAGCACGCCAGGGGGUAGUCACCAAAUGCUGACCCGCAGUAAGACACCUCAGAGAGGGGCUUCACCAUUCCUACGACCCCCCGUCAGGCCCCACGAGCCCCCACCACACGGCCAAGGACAGGGGGGACACCAACCCCAGUAUCACAACCCUAAGACAUCUGACAGGGCAGGUGAGACUGGGUAAUGAAUGAGCUGCUUUAAAACAGUGGACAUCAUUAACCCUGGUCCUGGGGGACUACUGGGCGUGCUGCGUUUUGUUUCAGACCUGAACUAACAUAUCCAAUUAUCAACACCUUGAUUAGCUGAAUCAGGUGAGGCAUUCAGUCCAUGUAGACAAGGACAGUACAUGAAGAAACGCAAGCUGGACACUUGAGAAAAGGCUGUUACCUAAAAGCCAUUUUACCAACAAGUCUUCAUUUUGAUUUAUUUUAUUUUAAUUGAGUAUAUUGGCAUCUCCUGUUGCUGCUAAAUGUAAAGAAAUGUUUAUGGUUUUUGUAAAUAAAAUCAGGGAUUUGUUUGCCUUUC
RNA transcript from Salvelinus fontinalis (brook trout), 4074 nucleotides. It is a transcript of the gene named RAD52 homolog, DNA repair protein, with no coding region annotated. NCBI's taxonomy places the organism in Eukaryota, Metazoa, Chordata, Actinopteri, Salmoniformes, Salmonidae. The record is from RefSeq and is a predicted model, not a curated record. The transcript has 10 exons.